RNAcentral lists this unclassified non-coding RNA (419 nucleotides) under Hevea brasiliensis (rubber tree). Lineage: Eukaryota; Viridiplantae; Streptophyta; Magnoliopsida; Malpighiales; Euphorbiaceae. The record is from RNAcentral.
GUGUCUGGCUCAACUUAUGAAAAUCAGCUUAUAAGUAUAGUUUUAAAUCGCAGUCACGAUCAGAGUCAAAACCACGGUAAUGAUCACGAUCAUGAGUAAUGGAAACGAGCUUGUAACGACCAUAACCUAACGACAACGACCCAUUGCUACGCAAAUUAUUUUGAAAAUUUUGUAAAGUUUAUGAAAUAAAUAAACAUUCAAAGAUAUAAUUAAAACUAAAAUAUACAACUACAUAAUAAGUAUAAAUAUAUCAAAUGUUUAUGCCAUCAAACUAGUAUAAAACAUAAUUUUCUUCCAAAAUAAAAGGCAAAUAAUUUACUCUUUGCAAAAUAUGGAUGUGGAUUGCUCUCCUUCACUUCAAAUAGAUCUCCAUAAACUAGAAACAAAAGAUUGAAAUGAGCUGGCUGCCCCUAUUGAAC